Molecule: ribosomal RNA, 395 nt
Filed under: uncultured bacterium
Lineage: Bacteria
Description: partial 16S ribosomal RNA
Rfam family: Bacterial small subunit ribosomal RNA
Source: RNAcentral
CCUACGGGUGGCAGCAGUGAGGAAUAUUGGUCAAUGGGCGCGAGCCUGAACCAGCCAAGUAGCGUGAAGGAUGACGGCCCUACGGGUGGUAAACUUCUUUUAUAAAGGAAUAAAGUGAGGCACGGGAGCCUGUGUGGAUGUACUUUAUGAAUAAGGAUCGGCUAACUCCGUGCCAGCAGCCGCGGUAAGACGGAGGAUACGAGCGUGAUCCGGAUUUAUUGGGUUUAAAGGGAGCGUAGAUGGGUUGGUAAGUCAGGUGUGAAAGUUUGCGGCUCAACCGUAGAAUUGCAAUGGAUACUGGCAGUCUUGAGUGCAGUAGAGGUAGGCGGAAUUCGUGGUGUAGCGGUGAAAUGCUUAGAUAUCACGAAGAACUCCGAUUGCGAAGGCAGCUUACU